This is an RNA transcript of Vespa crabro (European hornet), 3616 nucleotides long. It is a transcript of the gene named protein PFF0380w-like, with no coding region annotated. Lineage: Eukaryota; Metazoa; Arthropoda; Insecta; Hymenoptera; Vespidae. The record is from RefSeq and is a predicted model, not a curated record. The transcript has 6 exons.
CGAAAUUCGAUAAUAAUCUCGAAUUUUUCUUAAUUAUUUAGAUUAUAAUUUUUAAAAUAAUAAAACAAAAUAACGUGCGGAUUUAUAAACUAAAAUUGGAACUCUCUAUUUUUCCUUGUAAGUGUAAUAAUAUAUUUUAUCAAUAUUUACGUCACAACCCAAUGAUCGUGAUAAAAUACGCAUUAACAAUGCGUACGUAUAGAUUAACAAUACCGUAUACGUACUUAUUUAGAUAGACUAAUUUGUGUGUAUUGAUUUCUCAAGAAUCGACCGAAUGACUCCUUUUUCGUGCUGUUUAUAUUUUGUCCUCAAGGACUUCUCAGGUUUCUUUCUCACAUGAGUGAUACGUUACGUCUCUUUUUCAUUGUCGACUAAACAAUUCUAGUAAAGUCCUCGUCGCUACGACAAAAAACUUUAGUCGCUAUUUGUCGCUCUAAGAAGACGGUCGUGUGAUAAUUUUGCCGGUAUUAUGAAUAUUAAAGAAGAAAAUGUAAUUAGUAGUUUGGAAAAUGAUGCUUGGGCAUCUUCGAAUAAUUUAGAAGAGAAAAAAAUGGAUAGUACUGUCGAUGAAUCUGAUUGUUUUAAAAAGGAACAUGAUAUUUCAAUGAUUAGGACAGAUGUUUAUGAUAAUCAAAUCGAAUUAUUGUUAUUAACAGAGAAUGAGAAAGAAAAUGAAUGUAUUAUCGAGAUACCAGAUUCUGUCGUUAACUGUGAUUAUGAGACUUCUAAUGAUUUUACUAAAACACUUAAUGAUUCUAUAUGGAUUAUGACUGAUAAAGAGGCACAAGAUGUUAAUAAAAAAAUUCUUUCCUUAGAUUCACAAGUGUUUAAAUUAACUAUGUUGGAAGGUGACGAUACGGUAUCGUACUUGACAUAUAAAUGUGAUUCAAGAAAUAAUAGAGACUUAUUAAAAUUGCAAUCUGAUAAGAAUAAAUUCAUACUUAAUAAUCUUUCUAAUACUCGUAGUUUACCUAAUAUAUUAAGAGGCCCUAAAACAUUUUCUAAACAUGAUACAUCCUCUAUUACAUUUGAAACAGAAGAUAAUUCUUAUAAUACUAAUUUCAUACUUGAAAAUAAUAUUUUUGAAGAAGAGAACAUUAAAAAUGUUACAAAAUCCCAUCAUAAAAGAAAACAAAGACAUAAUCCAUUGAUUAUACAAGAAGAAUCUAUGAAUUGGGUGGUUAAUAAUACAGAUAAUUGCAAUGACAAUUCUAUAAGAAAAAAUAAACUCAACUCGAGGAAAGAAGCUAAACUUAAUCAUAGCAAUAAAAGAAAAAUGAAACAUAAAAGGAAAUCAUUUUUAUAUAAAAAGGUAAUCGACAAACAACCUGUCAAAAAAGCUUUCCAGGAAUCUAAUGUUACUACAGAUUCUACUAUGUCUAAUUUGGAACAAAAUAAAGAGAGAACUAAUGAUUUAGAUCUUUCUAUCGAAUUUAAUGCAUUUUAUGAAGAACAAUUUCAUGAAGAUUAUACGGAUCACUUUGACAUCUUAACCGAUGUUAUAAAAGAACAACAAGUUUUAGGUGAUGAAUGUUAUAAUAUACAUUCUAAUAACAUUCAUAGUUCUAAUGUUAUGGAUUGUCCAGAAUUACAAUGUCAGGAAUCUCUAAGAUAUAAUUUUGUAGAACAGAUAGAUAAUAGUUGGGAAGAUAAAAAUGUUAUUUUUAAAGAUGAUAGCCUAUCAGAUUGUGAGGACUAUUUUCAACAUGAAAAUAAUAAUUAUUUAUUGUUUGGAAAAUGUUCGGAUACAAAACAUAUUUCUUCAAAUGAAUGCGAUUUAGAAAUGGCAAGCAUUUAUACUAUGUACGAUAAAAAUUAUUUAUCAAGUUAUUUUAAUGAUUCAUUGGAUAAUGCAUUAUGCCAAAAAAGUCUAUCAUAUAAUUGUCUACAAAAUUCUUUGGACAAAGUUAAAAAUUCGGAUAAUCUGUUAAUCGAAAAAAGAAAAUAUGAAACUUAUUCGGAAAGUCAAUUGAAUAACGAUCUAAAUUCUUCAAAUAUUAAUUUUGCAUCUACUAAUAUUAAUAAAAAUACAACACAUGAUUUUUUAAAUAAUGAUUUAGAACAUUCAACUAUUAUAAGUGAAAAAGUCAAUGCACAACAGAGUAUACAAUCUGAUGUACUUCUCAACACAGAUCUUUCUGCAAAAUUCUCAUCAGAUCCAAAAAAAGUAACGUUAAAAAAUUUACCCAAGAAUGAUAUGCUAUUAGAAAAAGUAGUACAAGAAAAAAAAGAAAUGCAUUAUAAUUAUAUGAUUGUUCACAAAUUUGACGAAGAAUUUAAGUUAAAAUGUAAUUACGAAGAAACAAAUAAUAAACUAUUUUUAAUAGAAAAAAGUGACUCAAUUAUAGCGGAAAAUCAUAAUUUAAAUGAUAUAAAAAAAACAAAAAAUGUUAUAGAACCUUCACAGUGUUUACUAUGUCCAUUAACAUUUUCAUCCAAACGUUCACUGGCAUUACAUAUAGCAGGAGCACAUGGAGAUAUGUAUGUAAUAUUGUGCGAACGUUGCGGUCGACUUUUCAAUAAAAAGUAUAUCUUUAAUAAACACUAUAUACAUUGUGGCUGUGUUAAACUACCUUUUACUUGUAAAAUGUGUAAUAGAAAUUACAGGCAUAAAUCAUCUUUGUUGCAUCAUCUUAAAAUCGAGCAUCAAAUGGAAAAUAAACCACAUACAACAAAGGCAUAUAAAUGUGAUAUUUGUUCCAAAAUAUAUAGAAAAUAUGGUGCUUUUGAAAAGCAUUUGGGUAUACAUGUUAGUUCCCAAAAAUCUCUAAAUCUAAGGAAUAGGAAAUAUACUUUCAUAGUCGCUGACUAAUACCCAUUAUCUUUCACAUAUUGCAUUGAAUAUAUCAAUACUAACAAAUUAUUGAAAUAAUUUAAGUUCACGCAUCCUUUAAUUUUCGUUCGUUUAAACAAAUUAACCGACAUAAAAGAAAAAGAGAGGAAAAGAAAAUGAAAGAAAAUUGUCAUUCAAGCGUGCUUACAUCGAUUCCUCUAAGAUAUUAAGUAUUUUUUAUCUUACAUAAUAUUCUAUUUAUGUACAUUCGACUGAUUUAGAAUAUAUUACUAUAGUUUAUAUAUAUAUAUAUAUAUUAUUAUAUAUACACACAUAUAUAUAUAUUUUUGUUUAAUUAUUGUUUUAUGUGCAAUUUUUAUUUUUAUACUUUUUAUAAAUGUGUAUAAAUGGAUUAUAUUAGAAAACAUUUCAAACAAAACUAAUUUUAUCGUUAAACAUAUACAUAUGCAUUAUGACAAAUAAAACUUGUCAUAUUUUUGUUCAUUUAAUCGCUUUAAGAACAGAGAUAUAAAAAAUCGAAGUCGUUAUAAUCUAUAAGACGAAAGAUUAUUAAAAUAAUGAUCUUCGAAAGAAAAUUAUAUCGGCUAAUAUUUGUAUGUACUUAAUUUUUGAUUAAUUUUUGAUAGGACAAUUCUCAUUCACAGAGAAAUCUCUUGCGGUAAUUUAAUGCGAGAUAAAUGAAUAAACAAAAAUAAGAGAUGACCAAAAAUUUGUACUACAAAUUGUAUGCAGUAUUUCCCAUAUUCUCGGUCUUGUAAAAAAAAUGUGACGUGUGAAAAAAAUUGUCAAAUAUAUAAUAAAAGAUAUAAUAUUUUCAUAUAA